GAAAGUAAAAACGUAACAAGGUUUCCGUAGGUGAACCUGCGGAAGGAUCAUUAAUUAUUCUCGAACGUCAAGGUGGGUGGUGGAGGUAUGGGCAACCAUACUUACUACUCGCCCCUUGACUCUUCAUGAACAUCCCUUCUGUGUAUCAAACCUUUGUUGCUUCCCGCAUGGUGUGGCCUGCAAAGGCUAUCCUGUGGGAAGGAUAUGAUAAACUCUUGUUGUUGUGUCAUUAGUCUGAGUGGUAAACACAUGAAACAAGUUAAAACUUUCAACAACGGAUCUCUUGGUUCUCGCAUCGAUGAAGAACGCAGCGAAAUGCGAUAAGUAGUGUGAAUUGCAGAAUUCAGUGAAUCAUCGAAUCUUUGAACGCACAUUGCGCCUUCUGGUAUUCCGGGAGGCAUGCCUGUUCGAGCGUCAUCAAACACAUCCUCAAGCACUUUUGCUUGGUAUUGGAGGCAGAUGUCCGCAUCUCCUCUUAAAUUCCUCAGCGGAAACUACUGCAGUCUCAGGUGUCAUAAGAUAGAUUACCUUUCGCUUGAUAACUGCCGGUAGGUUCUUGCUGUGAAGAGCCCCCCAGCUAUUCUUUUACGUUGACCUCGAAUCAG
RNAcentral lists this ribosomal RNA (605 nucleotides) under Pezizomycetes sp. JK54. RNAcentral's name for it is "eukaryotic LSU rRNA". The stretch from base 264 to 417 matches the Rfam family "5.8S ribosomal RNA". The record is from RNAcentral. Lineage: Eukaryota; Fungi; Ascomycota; Pezizomycetes.